CCCAAUUCAGCCGGCUUUGCUGUCACUGUCAGGUGUUUCCGGAUUCUCCAUCUCUGACGUAUGGGUGUGUAGCCUUUUCUCUCAUUCCUGCCUCCUUGUCUCCUUUGACCUUUGUGUUGGUGCCUGUGACCUGGGAGUUGAUCUCCGUGUUAAUGCAUCUGGAGGCCAUGAGAGGAGCGAGAGGCGGAUUGCUGGAGAGGCUCUAAUCGAGGAUGCUCAGGUGCUGCCUGCAGUGAAGCCAAAGAGAUGUACAUGAGAUUGGAGGGACAGCCGGAGACAAGUAAUGAACAUUCCUCCCUCGCUGCAUUGCUCUGUUAACAUGAGGCCUGGUCAGAGGAACCACCUGCAGGCCGGAUUAGAAAGUCCUCUCGCUACCUGCUGGACGUGGCGCUGUGUGUUUUGAUUUACUGCUUUACUCAUCUAUCGUGUGUGUGUGUGUGUGUGUGUCCGUCUGUGUGUGUGUGUGUGUGUCUGUGUCCGUCUGUGUGUGUGUGUGUGUCCGUC
Molecule: long non-coding RNA, 504 nt
Organism: Oreochromis aureus
Lineage: Eukaryota; Metazoa; Chordata; Actinopteri; Cichliformes; Cichlidae
Source: Ensembl